This 520-nucleotide ribosomal RNA is filed under the name uncultured Glomus. RNAcentral describes it as "SSU rRNA". It matches the Rfam family "Eukaryotic small subunit ribosomal RNA", at positions 569 to 1092 of the family's 1831-position model. The record is from RNAcentral. Lineage: Eukaryota; Fungi; Glomeromycota; Glomeromycetes; Glomerales; Glomeraceae.
AGCAGCCGCGGUAAUUCCAGCUCCAAUAGCGUAUAUUAAAGUUGUUGCAGUUAAAAAGCUCGUAGUUGAAUUUCGGGGUCAGUAGGCCGGUCGUGCCAACGGUAUGUACUGGUCUUACUGAUUCCUCCUUCCUGAUGAACCGUAAUGCCAUUAAUUUGGUGUUGCGGGGAAUCUGGACUGUUACUUUGAAAAAAUUAGAGUGUUUAAAGCAGGCUAACGCUUGAAUACAUUAGCAUGGAAUAAUGAAAUAGGACGAUCGAUCCUAUUUUGUUGGUUUCUAGGAUUGACGUAAUGAUUAAUAGGGAUAGUUGGGGGCAUUAGUAUUCAAUUGUCAGAGGUGAAAUUCUUGGAUUUAUUGAAGACUAACUACUGCGAAAGCAUUUGCCAAGGAUGUUUUCAUUAAUCAAGAACGAAAGUUAGGGAUCGAAGACGAUCAGAUACCGUCGUAGUCUUAACCAUAAACUAUGCCGACUAGGGAUCGGAUGAUGUUAAUUUUUAUGUACUCAUUCGGCGCCUUAAC